Molecule: ribosomal RNA, 500 nt
Filed under: uncultured bacterium
Lineage: Bacteria
Description: partial 16S ribosomal RNA
Rfam family: Bacterial small subunit ribosomal RNA
Source: RNAcentral
AUUGAACGCUGGCGGCAUGCCUUACACAUGCAAGUCGAACGGCAGCACGGGAGCAAUCCUGGUGGCGAGUGGCGAGCGGGUGAGUAAUAUAUCGGAACGUGCCCAGUCGUGGGGGAUAACGUAGCGAAAGCUAAGCUAAUACCGCAUACGAUUUAUGGAUGAAAGCGGGGGAUCGCAAGACCUCGCGCGAUUGGAGCGGCCGAUAUCAGAUUAGGUAGUUGGUGAGGUAAAGGCUCACCAAGCCGCCGAUCUGUAGCUGGUCUGAGAGGACGACCAGCCACACUGGGACUGAGACACGGCCCAGACUCCUACGGGAGGCAGCAGUGGGGAAUUUUGGACAAUGGGCGCAAGCCUGAUCCAGCAAUGCCGCGUGCAGGAUGAAGGCCUUCGGGUUGUAAACUGCUUUUGUACGGAACGAAACGGUGAGCUCUAAUACAGUUUGCUAAUGACGGUACCGUAAGAAUAAGCACCGGCUAACUACGUGCCAGCCGCCGCGGUAA